CGCUGAGGCUUGAAAGCGCGGGGAGCAAAUGGGAUUAGAUACCCCAGUAGUCCACGCCGUAAACGAUGAGCAUUGGGCAUUUGACAUCUGGUCGAGUGCUGUAGCUAACGCGUUAAAUGCUCCGCCUGGGUAGUAUAUAUGCAAAUAUGAAACUCAAAGAAAUUGACGGGGACCUGAACAAGUGGUGGAGCAUGUUGCUUAAUUCGAUAAUACACGAAAAACCUUACCAAGGCUUGUAAUCUAUUGCGAAGCUAUAGAAAUAUAGUGGAGGUUAUCAGUAAGACAGGUGAUGCAUGGCUGUCGUCAGCUCGUGUCUUGAGAUGUUUGGUUAAGUCCCGUAACGAGCGCAACCCUACUCUCUAGUUACUUAGUUCUAGAGUGACUGAAUCGUAAGAUAUAGGAAGGAUGGGGCCAAGUCAAGUCAUCAUGCCCCUUAUGCCUUGGGCUGCAAACGUGCUACAAUGGUAGGUACAAUGUGUUGCAAACUAGCGAUAGUGAGCCAAUCACCUAAAGCCUAUCUCAGUCCGGAUAAAAGGCUGCAAUUCGCCUAUUUGAAGUUGGAAUCACUAGUAAUCCUGUGUCAGCUAUAUUC
RNAcentral lists this ribosomal RNA (592 nucleotides) under uncultured bacterium. RNAcentral describes it as "bacterial SSU rRNA". It matches the Rfam family "Bacterial small subunit ribosomal RNA", at positions 744 to 1358 of the family's 1533-position model. The record is from RNAcentral.